UGAAUACGUGACGCUACGGCGUCGAAGCAGUCUAUGUCAUACUUCCAAGAAAAGCUCGCAAUGUCAUAAACAAAUAAUGCCUGUACCAUAACCGACACAGGUGGGUAGGUAGAGUAUACUAAGGGGCGCGAGAUAACUCUCUCUAAGGAACUCGGCAAAAUGACUCCGUAACUUCGGGAGAAGGAGUGCCUUAUUUAUAAGGUUGCAAUAACAAGAUCCAAGCAACUGUUUAUCAAAAACACAGGUCUCCGCUAAGUCGUAAGACGAUGUAUGGGGGCUGACGCCUGCCCAGUGCCAGGAGGUUAAAGAAGUUGGUUAGCAUUCGCGAAGCUGAUAACUGAAGCCCUGGUGAACGGCGGCCGUAUCAAUAACGGUCCUAAGGUAGCGAAAUUCCUUGUCGGGUAAGUUCCGACCCGCACGAAAGGCGUAAUGAUUUGGAUACUGUCUCGGAGAGGGGCUCGGUGAAAUAGACUUGUCUGUGAAGAUGCGGACUACCUGCACCUGGACAGAAAGACCCUAUGAAGCUUUACUGUAACUUGAAAUUGAAAUUGGACUUUAUUUGCGCAGCAUAGGUGGGAGGCGUUGAGAGUAUUCUUGCGGGAAUAUUGGAGCCAUCAGUGAGAUACCACUCUUGUAAUGUUAGAUUUCUAACUUUGUAUCAUUAUCUGGUCAAAGAACAGUUUCAGGCGGGCAGUUUGACUGGGGCGGUCGCCUCCCAAACGGUAACGGAGGCGUACAAAGGUCUCCUCUGAACGGGUAGAAAUCGUAUCUAGAGUGUAAAGGCAUAAGGAAGCUAGACUGUGAGACCUACAAGUCGAGCAGGGACGAAAGUCGGUCUUAGUGAUCUGACGGUGCUGAGUGGAAAGGCCGUCACUCAACGGAUAAAAGUUACUCUAGGAUAACAGGCUGAUCUCCCCCAAGAGUUCACAUCGACGGGGAGGUUUGGCACCUCGAUGUCGGCUCAUCGCAUCCUGGGGCGGUAGUACGUCCCAAGGGUUGGGCUGUUCGCCCAUGAAAGCGGUACGCGAGCUGGGUUCAGAACGUCGUGAGACAGUUCGGUCCAUAUCCGGUGUAGGCGUUAGAAUAUUGAGAGGAGCCUUCUUUAGUACGAGAGGACCGAGAAGGACAUACCUCUGGUGUACCAGUUAUCGUGCCAACGGUAAACGCUGGGUAGCUAUGUAUGGAGAGGAUAACCGCUGAAAGCAUCUAAGUGGGAAGCCCACCUCAAGAUAAG
Molecule: ribosomal RNA, 1234 nt
Filed under: metagenome
Description: bacterial LSU rRNA
Rfam family: Bacterial large subunit ribosomal RNA
Source: RNAcentral